ACGAACGCUGGCGGCGUGCCUAAUACAUGCCCGUAGAACGCUGAAGGAGGAGCUUGCUUCUCUGGAUGAGUUGCGAACGGGUGAGUAACGCGUAGGUAACCUGCCUGGUAGCGGGGGAUAACUAUUGGAAACGAUAGCUAAUACCGCAUAAUAGCAGUUGUUGCAUGACAACUGUUUGAAAGGUGCAAUUGCACCACUACCAGAUGGACCUGCGUUGUAUUAGCUAGUUGGUGGGGUAACGGCUCACCAAGGCGACGAUACAUAGCCGACCUGAGAGGGUGAUCGGCCACACUGGGACUGAGACACGGCCCAGACUCCUACGGGAGGCAGCAGUAGGGAAUCUUCGGCAAUGGACGGAAGUCUGACCGAGCAACGCCGCGUGAGUGAAGAAGGUUUUCGGAUCGUAAAGCUCGGUUGUAAGAGAAGAACGAGUGUGAGAGUGGAAAGUUCACACUGUGACGGUAUCUUACCAGAAAGGGACGGCUAACUACGUG
RNAcentral lists this ribosomal RNA (494 nucleotides) under uncultured bacterium. RNAcentral's name for it is "partial 16S ribosomal RNA". It matches the Rfam family "Bacterial small subunit ribosomal RNA", at positions 29 to 507 of the family's 1533-position model. The record is from RNAcentral.